UCCCGCAACGAGCGCAACCCUGAAGCGUAGUAGCCAUCAUUAAGUUGGGCACUCUAAGUUGACUGCCGGUGACAAACCGUGAGGAAGGUGGGGAUGACGUCAAAUCAUCAUGCCCCGUAUGAUUUGGGCUACACACGUGCUACAAUUGACAAUACAAAGGGCAGCGAAACCGCGAGUUCAAGCAAAUCCCAUAAAGUUGUUCUCAGUUCGGAUUGUAGUCUGCAACUCGACUAUAUGAAGCUGGAAUCGCUAGUAAUCGUAGAUCAGCAUGCUACGGUGAAUACGUUCCCGGGUCUUGUACACACCGCCCGUCACACCACGAGAGUUUGUAACACCCGAAGCCGGUGGAGUAACCAUUUGGAGCUAGCCGUCGAAGGUGGGACAAAUGAUUGGGGUGAAGUCGUAACAAGGUAGCCGUAUCGGAAGGUGCGGCUGGAUCACCUCCUUUCUAAGGA
RNAcentral lists this ribosomal RNA (455 nucleotides) under Staphylococcus epidermidis. Its description in RNAcentral is "bacterial SSU rRNA". It matches the Rfam family "Bacterial small subunit ribosomal RNA", at positions 1085 to 1533 of the family's 1533-position model. The record is from RNAcentral. Lineage: Bacteria; Bacillati; Bacillota; Bacilli; Caryophanales; Staphylococcaceae.